RNAcentral lists this ribosomal RNA (482 nucleotides) under uncultured Tulasnellaceae. RNAcentral describes it as "eukaryotic LSU rRNA". The stretch from base 1 to 110 matches the Rfam family "5.8S ribosomal RNA", at positions 50 to 154 of the family's 154-position model. Lineage: Eukaryota; Fungi; Basidiomycota; Agaricomycetes; Cantharellales; Tulasnellaceae. The record is from RNAcentral.
CAGCUGCGAAAUGUGAUGUGAAUUGCAACUCAAAGCGGUUAUCGUGAAUCAUUGACUAUUUGAACGCAUUGCACCGCCCUUUUGGGAGUGGUACACCCGAUUGAGAGUCAUAAUGACCUUCAGGUUGGGAUACUUGGCCAUUCAAUUGGCAGAUGUAUUUGCCGCUGCAACCCAUCUCACUGAGGUGGCAGAGGCGCAUCUACAUGAGUGUCUCAACUCUGGCUUCGAGGCUGCACGGUACUUAAGUAUCGCGUGCCUUCAGAUGGAUUAGUGGUGACUGCGAGAGCGAGUCAGACUCUGUGUAAUAAAUCAUUUCACGCAGAGGAGUGCUUCAGCACACUUGUGAUCUAUGGCACUGCUUCAAACCUGCCCCUGGGCAAACUGCAACGGCUUCACGGCUGACGCGCAUUAUGAAAUUGGCCUCAGUUGGGUGGGAUGACCCGCUUGAUUUAAGCAUAUUAUUCAGCGGAGGAAAAGAAACU